GGGUAAACCUGAGAAACCCGAAAGGUCGAACGGGGAGAUUCAACCGCGUCUCGACCGCCGGCCGCGGUCCGAACCGCGACGGGCGGCGUUCGCGCCAGCCCGCGCGGCCGGUCGCGCGCAGGUGUCGAACGCGUGCACUUCUCCCCUUGUAGGACGUCGCGACCCGUUGGGUGCCGGCCAAAGGCCCGCUGGGUAGCCCGUCCGGACGGUUCGCGCCGUAUCGGACGGACCCGCGGUGUCCCGGCCGGCGUGCCCGACGGUACGCGAAAGGCGCGGGGCCGCGACUAGUUCGCGUCCGGCCCGCCGCAAGCCCGCGAGGGCUGUUGGCGGCGGAGUCCUCGGACGGUCCCACCGAGCGCCCGUCAGCGACGCUAUAGCUUUGGGUACUUUCAGGACCCGUCUUGAAACACGGACCAAGGAGUCUAGCAUGUGCGCGAGUCAUUGGGACACUCUAAACCUAAAGGCGCAAUGAAAGUGAAGGCGAGCCUCGCGCUCGCCUAGGGAGGAUGGGCCCCGUCGCGGCGGGGCCCCGCACUCCCGGGGCGUUUCGUUCUCAUCGCGAGAUGAGGCGCACCCAGAGCGUACACGCUGGGACCCGAAAGAUG
RNAcentral lists this ribosomal RNA (605 nucleotides) under Ectopria nervosa. RNAcentral's name for it is "eukaryotic LSU rRNA". The stretch from base 413 to 605 matches the Rfam family "Eukaryotic large subunit ribosomal RNA", at positions 665 to 825 of the family's 3401-position model. Lineage: Eukaryota; Metazoa; Arthropoda; Insecta; Coleoptera; Psephenidae. The record is from RNAcentral.